This is a non-coding RNA of Hordeum vulgare subsp. vulgare (domesticated barley), 124 nucleotides long. The record is from Rfam. NCBI's taxonomy places the organism in Eukaryota, Viridiplantae, Streptophyta, Magnoliopsida, Poales, Poaceae.
UCAAUACUCCCUCCGUCCGAAAAUACUUGUCCCAAAAAUGUAUAUAAUGAAUGUAUUUAUAACUAAAAUAAGUCUAGAUACAUUCAUCUCUAGGACAAGUAUUUCUGGACGGAGGAAGUAGCUC